UACGGAGGGUGCAAGCGUUGUUCGGAAUCAUUGGGCGUAAAGCGCGUGUAGGCGGCCCGCGAAGUCGGAUGUGAAAUCCCUUAGCUCAACUAAGGAAAGCCAUUCGAUACUGGCGGGCUUGAGUACGGGAGAGGAGAGUGGAAUUCCCAGUGUAGAGGUGAAAUUCGUAGAUAUUGGGAGGAACACCGGUGGCGAAGGCGGCUCUCUGGACCGAUACUGACGCUGAGACGCGAAAGCGUGGGGAGCAAACAGG
This 253-nucleotide ribosomal RNA is filed under the name uncultured bacterium. RNAcentral describes it as "partial 16S ribosomal RNA". It matches the Rfam family "Bacterial small subunit ribosomal RNA", at positions 524 to 776 of the family's 1533-position model. The record is from RNAcentral.